This 498-nucleotide ribosomal RNA is filed under the name uncultured bacterium. RNAcentral's name for it is "partial 16S ribosomal RNA". It matches the Rfam family "Bacterial small subunit ribosomal RNA", at positions 899 to 1397 of the family's 1533-position model. The record is from RNAcentral.
ACUCAAAUGAAUUGACGGGGACCCGCACAAGCAGUGGAGCAUGUGGUUUAAUUCGAUGCAACGCGAAGAACCUUACCUAGGCUUGACAUGCAGAUGACGAUAUCAGAGAUGAUAUUUCUCUUCGGAGCGUCUGCACAGGUGCUGCAUGGCUGUCGUCAGCUCGUGCCGUGAGGUGUUGGGUUAAGUCCCGCAACGAGCGCAACCCUUAUCAUUAGUUGCCAACAGUUCGGCUGGGGACUCUAAUGAGACUGCCUGGGUUAACCAGGAGGAAGGUGAGGAUGACGUCAAGUCCGCAUGGCCCUUAUGUCUAGGGCUACACACGUGCUACAAUGGCCGAUACAGAAGGCAGCGAAACCGCGAGGUGAAGCAAAUCCUAUAAAGUCGGUCCCAGUUCGGAUUGUAGUCUGCAACUCGACUACAUGAAGUUGGAAUUGCUAGUAAUGGCGUGUCAGCAACAACGCCGUGAAUACGUUCCCGGGUCUUGCACACACCGCCCGU